Molecule: ribosomal RNA, 429 nt
Filed under: Escherichia coli
Lineage: Bacteria; Pseudomonadati; Pseudomonadota; Gammaproteobacteria; Enterobacterales; Enterobacteriaceae
Description: partial 23S ribosomal RNA
Rfam family: Bacterial large subunit ribosomal RNA
Source: RNAcentral
GGCCCGUAAUCCGGGUUGCGGACAGUGUCUGGUGGGUAGUUUGACUGGGGCGGUCUCCUCCUAAAGAGUAACGGAGGAGCACGAAGGUUGGCUAAUCCUGGUCGGACAUCAGGAGGUUAGUGCAAUGGCAUAAGCCAGCUUGACUGCGAGCGUGACGGCGCGAGCAGGUGCGAAAGCAGGUCAUAGUGAUCCGGUGGUUCUGAAUGGAAGGGCCAUCGCUCAACGGAUAAAAGGUACUCCGGGGAUAACAGGCUGAUACCGCCCAAGAGUUCAUAUCGACGGCGGUGUUUGGCACCUCGAUGUCGGCUCAUCACAUCCUGGGGCUGAAGUAGGUCCCAAGGGUAUGGCUGUUCGCCAUUUAAAGUGGUACGCGAGCUGGGUUUAGAACGUCGUGAGACAGUUCGGUCCCUAUCUGCCGUGGGCGCUGGA